GCCUCUGUAGCUCAGUUGGUUAGAGCGCUGCACCGGAAUCGCAGGGUCGUAUGUUCAAUUCCUACCAGAGGAC
This 73-nucleotide transfer RNA is filed under the name Paramuricea clavata. It matches the Rfam family "tRNA". Rfam says of the family: Transfer RNA (tRNA) molecules are approximately 80 nucleotides in length. Their secondary structure includes four short double-helical elements and three loops (D, anti-codon, and T loops). Further hydrogen bonds mediate the characteristic L-shaped molecular structure. tRNAs have two regions of fundamental functional importance: the anti-codon, which is responsible for specific mRNA codon recognition, and the 3' end, to which the tRNAs corresponding amino acid is attached (by aminoacyl-tRNA synthetases). tRNAs cope with the degeneracy of the genetic code in two manners: having more than one tRNA (with a specific anti-codon) for a particular amino acid; and 'wobble' base-pairing, i.e. permitting non-standard base-pairing at the 3rd anti-codon position. Lineage: Eukaryota; Metazoa; Cnidaria; Anthozoa; Malacalcyonacea; Plexauridae. The record is from Rfam by way of RNAcentral.